This 794-nucleotide small RNA is filed under the name Rattus norvegicus (Norway rat). RNAcentral's name for it is "uncharacterized LOC102547123". Lineage: Eukaryota; Metazoa; Chordata; Mammalia; Rodentia; Muridae. The record is from RNAcentral.
GGAGAUGUUCAGAUCUGUAGACUGCAGGGAACUGUGUGCUUAUGCCAUGAUUGUGAUGUCAGAGAAGAUAAUGAAGACUCAGAAGAAUGGGGGAAUCAGCCCAGGGGUCAAGGGACCCAAGGACAGGGAAGAAUCAGGAAUUUUCUGAGGUCAGGGUCAUAGAGGUAUCCGUCUAGAAGAUGGUGAGUGGUGAGUAAAGAGUGGGAUCCUCAACACGAGAUUUGAGGUGCCAGCAAGGAGACCCACAAGCUGCUGAAGAAGACUAAAGGAGGACCCUAGGAGCACAAGGAGCAUCUGAGCCUGCCAUCCACAGGAAGUAUGAGGACAUGGCUCAUUUUGGUAUAGGCACAACAGAUCCUCUCAGAAGCCUCCUGUUUAGAGAAACCUGCAUGGCCAUCCCUUCCUGUGACUGACUCCAUCCAUCGCUGAUUGGUUCCUUGUUUUCUGCAAAGGGCCUUAAAAUUUGGAGAAGAAACAUGAAGUGACAAAGUUCACCAUUGUUUGACCAGCCUUCCUGGACCACACUGAUUUUGAGUGUGAAAAUGCUCAGCUGGCUGGGCUGGCCGGCCAAUGAAAUGCAAAGAUGGGCCUGUAUCAGCCCAACAGGAGAGUUGGAGUGUCUUAUGUGCCUGAAGUCGGCUUCUGCAUCUUGCUCUGUAUCUUAUUUCUCCUCGAUCCCGGGAUACAAGAACAACUGGUAUCCUGUAAAGCAGAAAAGAAGCCAAGAACAGAGAACAGAGUCAAUGGAAGGGAACAAAGGGACUUUGUGAUUUUGAUUUUAAUUAUACUGACUC